RNAcentral lists this ribosomal RNA (478 nucleotides) under uncultured bacterium. Its description in RNAcentral is "partial 16S ribosomal RNA". It matches the Rfam family "Bacterial small subunit ribosomal RNA", at positions 28 to 523 of the family's 1533-position model. The record is from RNAcentral.
GACGAACGCUGGCGGCGUGCUUAACACAUGCAAGUCGAACGGUAAGGCCCUUCGGGGUAUACGAGUGGCGAACGGGUGAGUAACACGUGGGUGAUCUGCCCUGCACUUCGGGAUAAGCCUGGGAAACUGGGUCUAAGACCGGAUAGGACUCCGGACUGCAUGGUCUGGGGUGGAAAGCUUUUGCGGUGUGGGAUGGGCCCGCGGCCUAUCAGCUUGUUGGUGGGGUGAUGGCCUACCAAGGCGACGACGGGUAGCCGGCCUGAGAGGGUGACCGGCCACACUGGGACUGAGAUACGGCCCAGACUCCUACGGGAGGCAGCAGUGGGGAAUAUUGCACAAUGGGCGCAAGCCUGAUGCAGCGACGCCGCGUGAGGGAUGACGGCCUUCGGGUUGUAAACCUCUUUCAGCAUCGACGAAGCGAAAGUGACGGUAGGUGCAGAAGAAGGACCGGCCAACUACGUGCCAGCCGCCGCAGUAA